RNAcentral lists this ribosomal RNA (301 nucleotides) under uncultured bacterium. RNAcentral's name for it is "partial 16S ribosomal RNA". It matches the Rfam family "Bacterial small subunit ribosomal RNA", at positions 509 to 807 of the family's 1533-position model. The record is from RNAcentral.
CAGUAGCCACGGGAAUACGAAGGGGGCUAGCGUUGUUCGGAUUUACUGGGCGUAAAGGGUGCGUAGGCGGAUUGUUAAGUCAGGGGUGAAAUGCCGAGGCUCAACCUCGGAACUGCCUUUGAUACUGGCGAUCUUGAGUAUGGGAGAGGUGCGUGGAACUCCGAGUGUAGAGGUGAAAUUCGUAGAUAUUCGGAAGAACACCAGUGGCGAAGGCGACACACUGGCCCAUUACUGACGCUGAGGCUCGAAAGCGUGGGGAGCAAACAGGAUUAGAUACCCCAGUAGUCCCUGUCUCUUAUAC